This 864-nucleotide ribosomal RNA is filed under the name Tenacibaculum sp. Norgv9. RNAcentral describes it as "bacterial SSU rRNA". It matches the Rfam family "Bacterial small subunit ribosomal RNA", at positions 50 to 915 of the family's 1533-position model. The record is from RNAcentral. Lineage: Bacteria; Pseudomonadati; Bacteroidota; Flavobacteriia; Flavobacteriales; Flavobacteriaceae.
UACACAUGCAGUCGAGGGGUAACAGGUAGCUUGCUACGCUGACGACCGGCGCACGGGUGCGUAACGCGUAUAGAAUCUGCCUUCUACAGAGGGAUAGCCUUUAGAAAUGAAGAUUAAUACCUCAUAAUACCAAUUUACAGCAUUUUAAAUUGGUUAAAGAUUUAUCGGUAGAAGAUGACUAUGCGUCCUAUUAGCUAGAUGGUAAGGUAACGGCUUACCAUGGCUACGAUAGGUAGGGGUCCUGAGAGGGAGAUCCCCCACACUGGUACUGAGACACGGACCAGACUCCUACGGGAGGCAGCAGUGAGGAAUAUUGGGCAAUGGAGGCAACUCUGACCCAGCCAUGCCGCGUGCAGGAAGACUGCCCUAUGGGUUGUAAACUGCUUUUAUACAGGAAGAAACCGACAUACGAGUAUGUCCUUGACGGUACUGUAAGAAUAAGGACCGGCUAACUCCGUGCCAGCAGCCGCGGUAAUACGGAGGGUCCGAGCGUUAUCCGGAAUCAUUGGGUUUAAAGGGUCCGCAGGCGGUCAAUUAAGUCAGAGGUGAAAUCCCAUAGCUCAACUAUGGAACUGCCUUUGAUACUGGUUGACUUGAGUUAUACGGAAGUAGAUAGAAUAAGUAGUGUAGCGGUGAAAUGCAUAGAUAUUACUUAGAAUACCGAUUGCGAAGGCAGUCUACUACGUAUAUACUGACGCUGAGGGACGAAAGCGUGGGGAGCGAACAGGAUUAGAUACCCUGGUAGUCCACGCCGUAAACGAUGGAUACUAGUUGUUGGGAUUUAAUCUCAGUGACUAAGCGAAAGUGAUAAGUAUCCCACCUGGGGGAGUACGGUCGCAAGACUGAAACUCAAAGGAAUUGACG